AGUGAACGCUGGCGGUAGGCCUAACACAUGCAAGUCGAACGGCAGCACAGUAAGAGCUUGCUCUUACGGGUGGCGAGUGGCGGACGGGUGAGGAAUACAUCGGAAUCUACUUUUUCGUGGGGGAUAACGUAGGGAAACUUACGCUAAUACCGCAUACGACCUACGGGUGAAAGCAGGGGAUCUUCGGACCUUGCGCGAUUGAAUGAGCCGAUGUCGGAUUAGCUAGUUGGCGGGGUAAAGGCCCACCAAGGCGACGAUCCGUAGCUGGUCUGAGAGGAUGAUCAGCCACACUGGAACUGAGACACGGUCCAGACUCCUACGGGAGGCAGCAGUGGGGAAUAUUGGACAAUGGGCGCAAGCCUGAUCCAGCCAUACCGCGUGGGUGAAGAAGGCGUUCGGGUUGUAAAGCCAUUUUGUUGGGAAAGAAAAGCAGCAGGUUAAUACCCCGCUGUUCUGACGGUACCCAAAGAAUAAGCACCGGCUAACUUCGUG
This 492-nucleotide ribosomal RNA is filed under the name uncultured bacterium. RNAcentral describes it as "partial 16S ribosomal RNA". It matches the Rfam family "Bacterial small subunit ribosomal RNA", at positions 29 to 507 of the family's 1533-position model. The record is from RNAcentral.